RNAcentral lists this ribosomal RNA (468 nucleotides) under uncultured bacterium. RNAcentral describes it as "partial 16S ribosomal RNA". It matches the Rfam family "Bacterial small subunit ribosomal RNA", at positions 28 to 507 of the family's 1533-position model. The record is from RNAcentral.
GACGAACGCUGGCGGCGUGCUUAACACAUGCAAGUCGAACGGAAAGGCCCUGCUUUUGUGGGGUGCUCGAGUGGCGAACGGGUGAGUAACACGUGAGUAACCUGCCCUUGACUUUGGGAUAACUUCAGGAAACUGGGGCUAAUACCGGAUAGGAGCUUCUGCUGCAUGGUGGGGGUGGGAAAGUUUCGGCGGGUGGGGAUGGACGCGCGGCUUAUCAGCUUGUUGGGGGGGUAGUGGCUUACCAAGGCUUUGACGGGUAGCCGGCCUGAGAGGGUGACCGGCCACAUUGGGACUGAGAUACGGCCCAGACUCCUACGGGAGGCAGCAGUGGGGAAUAUUGCACAAUGGGCGGAAGCCUGAUGCAGCAACGCCGCGUGCGGGAUGACGGCCUUCGGGUUGUAAACCGCUUUCGCCUGUGACGAAGCGUGAGUGACGGUAAUGGGUAAAGAAGCACCGGCUAACUACGUG